UUGAGCCGUGUGCCGCGACGAGUGGCACGCACGGUUCUUAGGGGGGCGGGACGCAGCAAUGCGUCCCGCCUACCCGAC
Non-coding RNA from Micromonospora rhizosphaerae, 78 nucleotides. Lineage: Bacteria; Bacillati; Actinomycetota; Actinomycetes; Micromonosporales; Micromonosporaceae. The record is from Rfam.